RNAcentral lists this long non-coding RNA (3460 nucleotides) under Eucalyptus grandis. Its description in RNAcentral is "long non-coding RNA (EGRA_LNC006020)". The record is from RNAcentral. Lineage: Eukaryota; Viridiplantae; Streptophyta; Magnoliopsida; Myrtales; Myrtaceae.
UUCCAUCAAAUUCUGCAGCCCCUCACGGUUUCUUCAGCCCACGCCCACGCCCACGAUCAUUUUCUUUUUUUUAAUCAUCUGCCACAUACCACCGUCUCUCUCCUCAAAUUCUCUCCACUCACUCUCUUCCUCACGGCCACAGAAACCCACGGAUGAAGCCUCCACGGAGUCAAACUCCCUUGGCCUAUUUUGGUUGUUGACUUCUCUUGCCAAACGGCUUCAAUCCACCGAAGUGAAGCCAGCAACUCCGUGUGCGUCAGCCCAUCUUUCCCCCACCGAGCAAGCUCAGUCUACGCCAGCUUCCUUGCCGCUUUCGCUGCCACCGGAGAUCAACGAAGCUGAUCUCCCUCUUUCGCUCAUGUCUUCACCCAGCGUCUUCAGCCACGUGAGCAGCAGCAGCCCACGCAAAUUCUCGGGCCCAGCUUUGGCCGUAGACUCCAGCACGUUCGGCCCAAUUGAAGUCCAUCAACAGCCCAUCUCAGCCCGUAAAUUUCAGUCCAGAAUGUUUCGCAGCAGCCCAGCCCAGAUUUAAAGCCCAUCCUCGGCCCAAUUCCAGCUCACUUGAGGCCCACGUAGUCAAGCCCAGUUCCGAGCCCAAGCCCGCGAAGCAAGCCUAGUCCAAUGCAAUAACAAAUCUCAGUUUGGGCUGAUAUUUUUUGGGCCCGUUUUAGGCCCGGCCCGACUGUUCGCCAACGUCGCCGAAAAUUCAUAUUUCGGCCGCCGUCGCGCCACCGUCACAGUGAACCGGUUUCCGCAAUUAACCGGUGAGUUUUUUUACUAAACUCUUCUUAGUAGGCUAAUAACGUCUAAGGGGUGUUUAGAUUUAUUUAAUUAGGAAUUAUGUGGUUGGUUAGAUUAAUUUAGUGAUUUAAUUAUGCAAUUAUGCAUGUUAGGUGGUUAGAUUAGAUUAAGUGAGGCCUAGAUAAAUUGUGCUAUUUAUCUAGUAGGGUUCGAGAAUUUUCCGGGUCCAUAUUGGUAUUUAAUUUAGUGAUUUUGGCAUAGGUUGGCAUUUUACUAUUUAAAUUGAUUUAUUUAAUUAAUUUUAGAAAUUAUUUAAUUAUUAAUUAUUUUCCGAAAAUUAGUCCAAGAUAGCUGGUGACCGGAAUUUCGUACUGAUUGCAAUGGUGUGGUUAAUUUUUGCAAUUGAGUGAUAGUUUGUGCAAAUUGAGUGUUGAUUGGAAUUUUGAAUAUUUAAUUUCAAAAAUUGUGAAUUUCAUUAUUUAUUCAGAAAAUUCCGGGUGUUGGGUUUUAAACACCGAAAAUGGUUUUAUAUACUAUAUAUAUAUUAGUGGGAUUUUGAAAAGAAGGUUAUGAAUUUUCUGGGUCCAAUCUGACCGUGUACCAACGCACGACUAUUAUUACUGAAUUUUUUUAAUACGAAGGAAACAUGCCAAGAUCACUAUUUUAAUGGAGGCAUUUGAGUGCAAUGCACAUUGUCCUAGGCCGAGAUUGAGUGGUCGUGUGUUGGAUAAGAGAACCUGUCUCGAACAAUUAUGCCGGAUGUUACUAAAUCCCUUUUCGGGUUACCCAUGCAUUAGGGUAGUGGGUCGCAAUAAAUUCUGGACCUACACCCCUUCGGAGAAGCCGUCUAAUUGAGAGACGUCGCCAUGCUCAAAGGAGGUGAGACGACACCUGGCAAUGCCAGAAGACCGCCAAUUUUGGAGUUGGCCGUACCCUUGAGGGGUGUAAUUAACAAUUGAAACGCAUGAUUGUUGAGUUUGAUGCACCCGAUUAUGAGACCAAAACUGUGUGACAUGGAAUAGAAUGUGUUAUAACGGUUUAGUCUUAUAAUCAGGACCCUGGUGAUUAGUUGAAUUGAUGAGGUGUUCCAGUUGUUAUGUGCAUUGAUUAUAUGCAUUGCAAUAUGAAUUGUACUGACAUGUAGAAAGGAAACUAAGGCGAGGUAAGUCCUCUAUGCCAAUUGUGUGGUUGUGUGGCUAGAGCACCCUAAAGCGUAUUUCCCUCAUAAUAUGAGUUUAGUAGGUAGACUUGCUGAGACAUUAUUUCACUGGUUAUUGAAUAACCAUUCUCAGGUCCUUAGAAGGUGGUCGUGGAAGACCAAGGUCUCAAAGUCUGAGGAGGAGGAGUAUGGAGGAUCGGUGGAUAUGUCUUAUCAGUAUGUCGUAGGACAACCUCUUGUGAGAGUCGACCUUUUUGUAGGCUUUCAUCUAAACUCGUUUUGUACCUGAAUCUCGUUGUUUGUAAAAGUGUGCUUUUAUGACUUGAUAUCCUACUUUCUUAUCCCGAGAUAUUUUUGUCAAGGGAUUUAUUUUUGCUUCCGCAUGUGCUUAAAAAUCAAUGAGUCGGCGACUCGUCCUAGGAAGUUGCAAAAUUUUAUCGACCAGAGGGCAUACGCUCGAGGAUCGGGGCGUGACAUCAAUUGAGCUUGUAGAGUUAGGAAGGUUUGACUAGUCGAUGGGCGAGAGGGGGAGGUUAAAAUAAUGGAGCUAGAGAGCACCCUUCUCCUCUGCCACGCGGUUGUUGUUCGUCAUUAUGGAGGAGCGAGAGAUUAUAUCAUAGCAAUUUCUCUUGGAUUUAGCAAUCUAACUAAGAGACAAUAUACUUAGAUAGUAUUGAUCAUUCUUUGAUUUAAAGAAUCAUCGCAUUUCAAUUGAAAAUGUAAAUACUUUUUGAGGUGAAAAUCAAGCUCCACUUCCAUGGUGCUUUUAUAUUAUUUUUUCUUUCUAUGUUUUUUUCAUGUCAAAGUAAUGCCCGAGUUUGAUCAUUGGGUUUUUAACAUUCAUAAUUCAAGAUUUUGAUUUAGAGUAUCAAUUUCCAUUUGUAAAAUAAUUGUGAAUUCUCAAUGACUAUCGCAAUACGUUCGCGUUGAGUAGUCCAAUUCAAGAUAGAGUAAGGUUAGGCGCAAUAAAAUUUGAAAUCCGUUGGUAAUUUAAACUCUGAUCGAUUGCUUUAUUUAACAUACAACAAGUCAUAAGUUACUAAUAAUCUCGGGAGUAUCAACAGUUAUUCAGCCAGUAACGUUUCAUUAGUUCCAGCAAUCUUGUGUAAGUACCGGCAGUUAUCAAUUGUCCAAAGUUAUCAGCUAUUUCUAUAACUUAUAAUUAUUUACAUGCAUGGUUCAUCUAUAUAUCGAGUUAAGCAAUUAAAUGGAAAAUCAACACAGGAUUACCUACUUGGAAAUCCCUCUCAAAGCCUUCGACGUACCACAGCCUCUUAUCAAGCAGCAGCUUCUUUUCCUGCUUCAGGACGUGUAGCUAUAACUUUUCUACCAUAUAUAAUUUACUCUAUUCAAAAUGUUACGAACAAUAUUCAGAAAUGAAAUUUCCCUGUCAUUAUUUUACAUCGGGGGAGACUGUAAUUCAGGACAGGACAAUCCCAUUCUAUCGCCAAAAUCAUGAGAGAAGCAAAAUUAAAGGGCGCGAUACUCAUGAAGUAAACUGAUGAGAGAUUGAAGUACUAAUUAAUGUCUUGAAUGUUCACUGUAGUGCUCAAAAUGUCC